AACGAACGCUGGCGGCAUGCCUAACACAUUCAAGUCGAACGAGACCUUCGGGUCUAGUGGCGCACGGGUGCGUAACGCGUGGGAACCUGCCCUUAGGUUCGGAAUAACUCCCCGAAAGGGGUGCUAAUACCUGAUAAUGUCUUCGGACCAAAGAUUUAUCGCCUUUGGAUGGGCCCGCGUUGGAUUAGCUCGUUGGUAGGGUAAAAGCCUACCAAGGCGACGAUCCAUAGCCGCUCUGUGAGGAUGAUCAGCCACACUGGGACUAAGACACGGCCCAGACUACUGAGGGAGGAAGCAGUGGGAAAUAGUGAAAAAUGGGAGAAAGGCUAGUAAAGCAAUGACGAGUGAAUGAAGAAGGAGUGAGGGUGGAAAAAAUCUUUUAACCGGGAGGAGAAGGACAGUACCGGGAGGAUAAACUCAGGAUAACUCCAUG
Molecule: ribosomal RNA, 433 nt
Filed under: uncultured bacterium
Lineage: Bacteria
Description: partial 16S ribosomal RNA
Rfam family: Bacterial small subunit ribosomal RNA
Source: RNAcentral